GACGAACGCUGGCGGCGUGCUUAACACAUGCAAGUCGAACGGAAAGGCCCUGCUUUUGUGGGGUGCUCGAGUGGCGAACGGGUGAGUAACACGUGAGUAACCUGCCCUUGACUUUGGGAUAACUUCAGGAAACUGGGGCUAAUACCGGAUAGGAGCUCCUGCUGCAUGGUGGGGGUUGGAAAGUUUCGGCGGUUGGGGAUGGACUCGCGGCUUAUCAGCUUGUUGGUGGGGUAGUGGCUUACCAAGGCUUUGACGGGUAGCCGGCCUGAGAGGGUGACCGGCCAAAUUGGGACUGAGAUACGGCCCAGACUCCUACGGGAGGCAGCAGUGGGGAAUUAUGCACCAUGGGCGGAAGGCUGAUGCAGCAACGCCGCGUGCGGGAUGACGGCCUUCGGGUUGUAAACCGCUUUCGCCUGUGACGAAGCGUGAGUGACGGUAAUGGGUAAAGAAGCACCGGCUAACUACGUG
Molecule: ribosomal RNA, 468 nt
Filed under: uncultured bacterium
Lineage: Bacteria
Description: partial 16S ribosomal RNA
Rfam family: Bacterial small subunit ribosomal RNA
Source: RNAcentral